CGAACGGGUGAGUAAUGCGUGACCAACCUGCCCCAUGCUCCAGAAUAGCUCUUGGAAACGGGUGGUAAUGCUGGAUGCUCCAACUUGACGCAUGUCUUGUUGGGAAAGUGUUUAGUGGCAUGGGAUGGGGUCGCGUCCUAUCAGCUUGUAGGCGGGGUAAUGGCCCACCUAGGCUUCGACGGGUAGCCGGCCUGAGAAGGCGGACGGCCACAUUGGGACUGAGAUACGGCCCAGACUCCUACGGGAGGCAGCAGCC
Molecule: ribosomal RNA, 256 nt
Filed under: uncultured Gardnerella sp.
Lineage: Bacteria; Bacillati; Actinomycetota; Actinomycetes; Bifidobacteriales; Bifidobacteriaceae
Description: partial 16S ribosomal RNA
Rfam family: Bacterial small subunit ribosomal RNA
Source: RNAcentral